Molecule: transfer RNA, 95 nt
Filed under: Mycolicibacterium chitae
Lineage: Bacteria; Bacillati; Actinomycetota; Actinomycetes; Mycobacteriales; Mycobacteriaceae
Description: tRNA-Arg
Source: RNAcentral
AGGUCGUGGUCGAGGGCGUGGACGGUCAGGCCGUUGCGCCCGGUCAUGGUGUCCGCGGCGACCAUCGCGUUGACGAUCGCCUCCUCGGUGGCCUC